AUUUUGUUCAUGGAAAUUUGGGCGAUACUCAAUUGUCAUAUUUCAAGGUCAAGGAGAAUUUUUAUAUUGUUUGAUGCUAGUGACAUGUUCAUAACUUAUUCUGGUCAAAUGAUAUGAGUGUUUACGCAUUUAUGUGUCGAUCAAUUGGUUUUGAGAAAAAUGCAUUUAUCUUUCCAACGGUGCGAGAUACCAACUCGUAGCAAGCAACAAACAAUAUAAAAAUUCUCGCGCUCUCAGACAAUGACCUCCAAAUAUCAGUCAGAGGUCAAAAAACGCAAUGACCUUGAAUCACCUUGACCUUGAAAUAUGACAAUUGAGUAUCGCCCAAAUUUCCAUAAACAAAAUAUCACACCUCAAGUUCACUCAGGAGCAAAGAUAUAACCAAUUUACAACGGUAAAAUUAGCUGAAAUGCCCUGUACUCUCCGAUAUACUCUUCGGUACACUAGUUUCACCUAUAAGGCAAUCUUUGAUAAGCACUGUCUACUAUACUAUUACUAAUACCAGUGAUAUAAUUAAGCAUCUUACGUAUAGUAGAUGGCACAAAAAUUAACUUAUCCGUGAAACUAAUGUAUAUAGUCAAACAUGUUUAAUUAAUCAAAAUAACUAUCAAGAUUUGUAUUAAUUGUCAAAAAAUAUUACAAAUUAACAUCACCAAGCUAUAAUAUUAAGUUGAAUUUACCAAAAUAUUAAAUUGAUGAAGUUCUUCAUUUGCAUGUAAACAAAGGGGUUGAGGGGUCAUUGAUUAAUUUAGUCACACUUUACUGUACAUUUAUACUGAUGAAGAAUUCCUUAGGAAAUCGAAUGCUUACCGCCAUUUCCCUUUCACUCACAGGUCUAACAUCGUUCUCUAUCUUUCUAUGCCCUAACUAAACUCUGUUGGCGUGAAUUGCGGAAUUCUGCAUAUUGUCGUGACCAUAGUCAUUCAAGAUGUCAGAAUCGGUAAGUACAGAUUUCUGAGAAUAACAUUGUUUAUAUUAUUCGUAUGUUAUUUUAUUUUAUAUUCACACAGUAUCAAGAAGUCGAAGAACAGAAGAUUCGGGAUAAAAUAAAAUCUUUGACUGAUGAUAUGCCGGUAAACACCCUUUUAAGCUUUAAUAUUGAUGGCAAAGAAGUUUUAAUUCGAAGGUGACCAUGUCUCACAAAACUAUGAAGAACUUUUGAUCUGAAAAGUGAAUUAUCAUCUUUUCAAUUAAUCUAUAACAUGUAACAAUGUUUGACUACCAAUAAUUAAACAUAUUUAGACAAAAAUUUAUGAAUAUAUUUUAUGAAUAUUGAUGGCUGGUCAUCUGAAAAUAGUCCGGAAUAAGACUCUUUAUAUUAUAUAAUCAGGACUGUGCGUUUUUUCUGUUUCAACGCUAUUGUGUUACAGCGGAUUUUCGAUUCCACAAUUUUUGUGUUAAAAGUACGUUACUUGUUUUUCUUCAUGAUCUUCUGAUAGGUGAGGUACAUGUGAAUUGGUGCAAGUUGUUUGUAUUGGGGAAAAAUUGCAUUUUUUGGGAUAGGUGAGGAAGAGUUGAACCCCCCAAUUCAAAUAUUAGAUUAGUGGCAAGCCAAUUUGGCAGAGGAAACUAUGAAAAUUUAGAUCUUUUAUCGGACAAAAAGUCAUAAAUGAACUUGAAUGAACUCGGCUUUAUUGCCUUUGUUGAAAAUUUAUGCUGAUAUUUUAUAGUGAAAUUUUCACCUUCUUGGUUCUACUAGUUCUUCACCAUUUCAACGUUACUUGAAACUUAUUUUGCAUUCAUUAUUCAUCGGUGAAAGAUAUUUGGGCAGUAUAUGUUGUCAGCUAUAUUUAACCUAUGAACCAAGUAACAUAAUAUCUUAUAUAUUUAUCGGAGCGUAGUGAAACGAAGUGAAGAUUUAACUCAGAUAUGCCUUUUCGAAAAUCCACUUUUUGUUUUACUGUGUACAAGAUAUCUAACGAAUAAAACAUCAUAGAAAGAUGAUAUUUGUUAAUAAGACAGAAAAUAUUGAGACGGUGAAACGAUCAACUUUUCAAGGUUCAUUGACGGUCAUUUUUCUGGAUUUCAUUUCGACCUUAAGAGGUCAUUUGAAGGUUGUUUGAAAUUUUUCGAUGAUCCUCAUGAAUAUUUAUCAUUAUUUCACCAAUAGUAAUCAGAAUUUGACCCGAAAAGGGGCAAAAAGUCUGAAACUCAUACCAAAGCAAAUUUUUGUAACUAUGAUAUCUCCUAAACGAAUGAGGUCUCGAACUUGAUAUUCGUAAUAUGCCCGCUUAAGAACAUGCUGUAAGCCUGAAAAUUAAAUAACGAUCAUCAAAGAAAGGUUUUCGGAUUUUGACCUAUGACUUUCAUAAUCCAGUAUGCUUGAACAAACGACGAAGCAUUAGCAAAUUUUAAAGCUUGCAUGAGGUUUCACAAGUUAUUUUGUGAUUUAAUAUCUCUUGUGAACAAGAUUUCAGAUGCAAGAGAAGUUAAUGAAUCAUGGUCUAUACUGGAUGGUUAAGGAGUGAAACUAAGAUACAAUUUUGUACUUUUUCGAUGUUAGAUUUCGUUUCUUGUUAAAUCUAAAAAACAAUACGGUAGAUUCAAUUGCUUGCUAACGCCAGAUCGUCUGACCUAGUAGUACUAAAAUCCAAGCUUUGUUUAAUAGCAAACAAAUCUAAUCUUAUGUAUGUUUAUCAGAAUUUAAUCAAGAAUUCAUUUCACAUUCAAUAAGCAUUGUAAUUAUCAAGAAAAUUGGUAAUCAAAAAAACGUAACUCAGACGGAAUAUUUUCUUAAGACUGCAUAACAUUGAAUGAACCAAAAUACAGCGAAAAGUAUGAUCAAAUCUAACAAAUUGAGUUUUUCAGUAUCAAUUGUUACACCGAUAGAUGAACAAAAGAAUUGAAUCCGCUAUGUAAAAAGUUUUAUUAUUUAUAAAAAAUAAAGUACUUGUAAAUUUGAAGUACUUAUGCAAUAGCCAUUGACUUCGUGGUGUUUGGUUCGACAAUUGUUUUUCCAUUCUGAAUAUUGCUACUGCUUGCAACAGCAUUUAAUAUUUUAAUAGGAUUAAUCGAAAUGUCUUUUGCUUACAAAAUUGAUUUUUGUAAUCAAUUUCAUACAAAUAAUUAGUUUAUUCCUAUUUGGUUCGAUAGUAUCUGAAGAGGGCUGCGAUACUAUUGAGACAAAGAUUCUUCGAUGAAAACACAAUAGGAGGCGCACUAGUAUCGAAUCCUCGUGUUAAAUCGCCUUUUUCUCAAAAUUUAAAUUUAAUUUUCAGUUAAUUCUAUUCUAAAUUUUAAUCAUCAUAAGUUAUUUCAUAUCUGGUAUCUUGUCAAAUUUAUCAUUCGCUCAAGCCUUGCAUUCAUUUCUUAUUUCAGGAAUAUUAUAAGAAUAAGAAAAAGAAUCCGAAGGAAAAUUUGGAGACGAAUAAUACUGACAAAAACGAUCCAGAUAAUUCAAAUGCUGAAAUCCAGGAUAAACCGCGAUUGGUUAUCUGCAAAAAUCAAUUGCAGGCAAAGUUUCCAUGCAAACUCAAACAUAUGGCUAUAAUUGACAAUGUGAUGCAUGCAUGUUUUUCAUACGGCGCUUAUUAUGAAGAUAAAACUGAGAUGUUGGAUCUUAACAAAGACAAUUAUCCACUACUCGAACCAGUGGCAGAUGUUCCCUUGGCAACUGAUCUAAGAAAAGACUCCGCCAAAGAUAAGAGCAAGAAAGAUUGACAGUGCCCUUAUUGUGGUUAUUGCUCCACAAAAUUCAAUCAAAAAGUAUUGAAAAAUAUAAUAUAUUGAAUGUAGCUACUGGUAGAAUAAAUAUUAUUAUUUACAAAAAAUAAUUUUGAUAAUAAUCUUGUGAAGAUAUUAAUUAAGAUAGAGAUAAUAAUUAAUGAAGAUAUAUAAUGAUAAGUAUUCUACUUACAAUUAGUAAGUUGUGUUGAUACUCGGUUUAAAUUGAAUUAGCUGUUGUUGCAAGCAGUAGCAACAUUCGGAAUGGAAAAUGUACAUAAUGUAAGUAAUGUACUCCGAAACUAUUGUCGCACCAAACACACCAACUGAAGUCAAUUGGCUAUUACAUAUACCGAAAGCUUUGGGGUCAUCCCAUUCGUCAUCAAAAUCACGAUCACUGAAUUCAAGGUCAUUAAAAUUAAUUAGAUAAAUCAUUUUCAAUAAAGAUAUUGCAUCUGUUGAUCCCAAUUUAUUUAUACACUAGAGUACCCGGUUAACGCAAUUUUUUUUUGUUAGUCUCCAUCUAGUGACAUAAUCUUAAAUAUGAGGGAUAUUAUAACGUUAAACUGUAAACAUGAGUAAAUUAACGUUAUCAAGUAAAUUAAAUAUAGUGAAGCAAAUUGAAAGCGGUGAAAAACAGUUACUGAUUGCUAACAACAACGAAGUAAGUCCAUCAACAAUCUCAAGAAUAAAGAAAAAUAAAGAAAAUAUAAAAAUAGAAUCAAAAAUUGAUGGUCAACGAAAACGUCUAGUGGUUCAAAAACAAAAAUAAGAGAUGAAGCUAUUCAUAAAUUUGUCAACGAUUGCAAUGAGAAAGGAUUUCCAGUGAACCACAGAAUAAUUAAAUCAAAAGCAAUUUCAAUUGCUAGUCGUGAAGGUGAAGUGUUCAAAGCAAGUAACCAUUGGUUUUCAAAUGUGAAGAGGAGAACAAGUUUGAGCUAC
Molecule: non-coding RNA, 4605 nt
Organism: Tetranychus urticae (two-spotted spider mite)
Lineage: Eukaryota; Metazoa; Arthropoda; Arachnida; Trombidiformes; Tetranychidae
Source: RefSeq, a predicted model, not a curated record